Molecule: ribosomal RNA, 526 nt
Filed under: uncultured bacterium
Lineage: Bacteria
Description: bacterial SSU rRNA
Rfam family: Bacterial small subunit ribosomal RNA
Source: RNAcentral
UAGGGAAUAUUGCACAAUGGGCGAAAGCCUGAUGCAGCAACGCCGCGUGCGCGAAGAAGGCCUUCGGGUCGUAAAGCGCUUUUCUGAGAGAUGAGAAAGGACAGUAUCUCAGGAAUAAGUCUCGGCUAACUACGUGCCAGCAGCCGCGGUAAAACGUAGGAGGCGAGCGUUAUCCGGAUUCACUGGGCGUAAAGCGCGUGCAGGCGGUUCGGUAAGUUGGGCGUGAAAUCUCUCGGCUUAACUGGGAGAGGUCGUUCAAUACUACCGGGCUAGAGAGUGGUAGAGGAAGAUGGAAUUCCCGGUGUAGUGGUGAAAUGCGUAGAUAUCGGGAGGAACACCAGUGGCGAAAGCGAUCUUCUGGACCAUUUCUGACGCUCAGACGCGAAAGCUAGGGUAGUAAACGGGAUUAGAGACCCCGGUAAUCCUAGCCAUAAACGAUGUAAACUUGGCGUUGGUGGCUUAAACUCCAUCNGUGCCGCAGCAAACGCGAUAAGUUUACCGCCUGGGGACUACGAUCGCUAGAUUA